Molecule: ribosomal RNA, 423 nt
Filed under: Pseudoalteromonas sp. NZS100_1
Lineage: Bacteria; Pseudomonadati; Pseudomonadota; Gammaproteobacteria; Alteromonadales; Pseudoalteromonadaceae
Description: partial 23S ribosomal RNA
Rfam family: Eukaryotic large subunit ribosomal RNA
Source: RNAcentral
CCUUGUUAGUUUCUUUUCCUCCGCUUAUUGAUUACCCGCUGAACUUAAGCAUAUCAAUAAGCGGAGGAAAAGAAACUAACAAGGAUUCCCCUAGUAACUGCGAGUGAAGCGGGAAAAGCUCAAAUUUAAAAUCUGGUAGUCCUUGCGGCUGCCCGAGUUGUAAUCUAGAGAAGCAUUAUCCGCGCUGGACCGUGUACAAGUCUCCUGGAACGGAGCGUCAUAGAGGGUGAGAAUCCCGUCUUUGACACGGACUACCAGGGCUUUGUGAUGUGCUCUCAAAGAGUCGAGUUGUUUGGGAAUGCAGCUCUAAAUGGGUGGUAAAUUCCAUCUAAAGCUAAAUAUUGGCGAGAGACCGAUAGCGAACAAGUACCGUGAGGGAAAGAUGAAAAGAACUUUGGAAAGAGAGUUAAACAGUACGUGAAA